GACGAACGCUGGCGGCGUGCCUAAUACAUGCAAGUCGAGCGAAGUUUUUCUGGUGCUUGCACUAGAAAAACUUAGCGGCGAACGGGUGAGUAACACGUAAAGAACCUGCCUCAUAGACUGGGACAACUAUUGGAAACGAUAGCUAAUACCGGAUAACAGCAUUAACUGCAUGGUUGAUGUUUAAAAGUUGGUUUUGCUAACACUAUGAGAUGGCUUUGCGGUGCAUUAGCUAGUUGGUGGGGUAAAGGCCUACCAAGGCGACGAUGCAUAGCCGACCUGAGAGGGUGAUCGGCCACACUGGGACUGAGACACGGCCCAGACUCCUACGGGAGGCAGCAGUAGGGAAUCUUCCGCAAAGGGCGAAAGCCUGACGGAGCAACGCCGCGUGAGCGAAGAAGGAUUUCGGUUCGUAAAGCUCUGUUGUUAGGGAAGAAUGAUUGUGUAGUAACUAUACACAGUAGAGACGGUACCUAACCAGAAAGCCACGGCUAACUACGUG
Molecule: ribosomal RNA, 499 nt
Filed under: uncultured bacterium
Lineage: Bacteria
Description: partial 16S ribosomal RNA
Rfam family: Bacterial small subunit ribosomal RNA
Source: RNAcentral